UACGUAGGGAGCGAGCGUUGUCCGGAUUCAUUGGGCGUAAAGAGCUCGUAGGCGGCUUGGCAAGUCGGGUGUGAAAACUCCAGCUCAACCUGGAGACGCCACCCGAUACUGCCAUGGCUAGAGUCCGGUAGGGGACCACGGAAUUCCUGGUGUAGCGGUGAAAAUGCGCAGAUAUCGAGGAGGAACACCGGUGGCGAAGGCGGUGGUCUGGGCCGGAACGACGCUGAGGAGCGAAAGCGUGGGGAGCGAACAGG
Molecule: ribosomal RNA, 254 nt
Filed under: uncultured bacterium
Lineage: Bacteria
Description: partial 16S ribosomal RNA
Rfam family: Bacterial small subunit ribosomal RNA
Source: RNAcentral